UGAGAGGGUGACCGGCCACACUGGGACUGAGACACGGCCCAGACUCCUACGGGAGGCAGCAGUGGGGAAUAUUGGACAAUGGGCGGAAGCCUGAUCCAGCAACGCCGCGUGAGGGAUGACGGCCUUCGGGUUGUAAACCUCUUUCAGCAGGGACGAAGCUUUUUUGUGACGGUACCUGCAGAAGAAGCACCGGCCAACUACGUGCCAGCAGCCGCGGUAAUACGUAGGGAGCAAGCGUUGUCCGGAUUUAUUGGGCGUAAAGAGCUCGUAGGCGGCUUAGCAAGUCAGGUGUGAAACCUCCAGGCUCAACCUGGAGACGCCACUUGAUACUGCUAUGGCUUGAGUUCGGUAGGGGACCAUGGAAUUCCUGGUGUAGCGGUGAAAUGCACAGAUAUCAGGAGGAACACCGGUGGCGAAGGCGGGUCUCUGGGCCGAUACUGACGCUGAGGAGCGAAAGCGUGGGGAGCGAACAGGAUUAGAUACCCUGGUAGUCCACGCCGUAAACGUUGGGCGCUAGGUGUGGGGUCCCUUCCACGGGUUCCGUGCCGCAGCUAACGCAUUAAGCGCCCCGCCUGGGGAGUACGGAAUCUAG
Molecule: ribosomal RNA, 592 nt
Filed under: uncultured Actinomycetes bacterium
Lineage: Bacteria; Bacillati; Actinomycetota; Actinomycetes
Description: bacterial SSU rRNA
Rfam family: Bacterial small subunit ribosomal RNA
Source: RNAcentral